UAAGGAUUCACCUCCCAAUUCCCCCAAACAAUUGUUAAAGAAGUCAUCUAGAUUCUUUCCCGCAUCGUUCUUUUCUUCUGAGGUUGAUGGUGAAGAGUUUACUCCGGCCUCCGUCUUCCAAGGGCUUAUUGCAUCUGCAAGGAAGCAAGCACCCAAGCUGGUUGCUGGCAUAAUUCUUCUUGGAGUGGGGUUUAUCUUUCUUAAUAACCGAGCGGAAAAGAAUUAUCAGUUGCUUCAUCAGCCAGAUAUAGUUACCAGUA
Molecule: unclassified non-coding RNA, 260 nt
Filed under: Hevea brasiliensis (rubber tree)
Lineage: Eukaryota; Viridiplantae; Streptophyta; Magnoliopsida; Malpighiales; Euphorbiaceae
Source: RNAcentral